GGAACUGCUUAUGCUUUUUGGUAGAAGUUUAUGAUUUAGAUAUUAAUCAGCAUCCUGAACCAAUUAGAAGCAGGCUUGUGAAUGCUGUAGUGGCAAUCGGUAUGUAUUAUUGACUGUUGUGCGAUUUUUCUCCUGUCUUUUCCCUUCACAAAUUUUCCAUUAUGAACAUGAUCGGUGAGGUUUAAGUUUCUUUUUUAAUACAUAAAAUAG
RNAcentral lists this unclassified non-coding RNA (210 nucleotides) under Hevea brasiliensis (rubber tree). The record is from RNAcentral. Lineage: Eukaryota; Viridiplantae; Streptophyta; Magnoliopsida; Malpighiales; Euphorbiaceae.